UGAGGAAUAUUGGUCAAUGGGCGAGAGCCUGAACCAGCCAAGUAGCGUGCAGGAUGACGGCCCUAUGGGUUGUAAACUGCUUUUGUUUGGGAAUAAUCGACAUUACGUGUAAUGUUUUGCAUGUACCAUUCGAAUAAGGACCGGCUAAUUCCGUGCCAGCAGCCGCGGUAAUACGGAAGGUCCAGGCGUUAUCCGGAUUUAUUGGGUUUAAAGGGAGUGUAGGCGGUUGGUUAAGCGUGUUGUGAAAUGUAGAUGCUCAACAUCUGACUUGCAGCGCGAACUGGCUGACUUGAGUACACACAACGUAGGCGGAAUUCAUGGUGUCGCGGUGAAAUGCUUAGAUAUCAUGACGAACUCCGAUUGCGAAGGCAGCUUACGGGAGUGUUACUGACGCUUAAGCUCGAAGGUGCGGGUAUCGAACAGG
Molecule: ribosomal RNA, 424 nt
Filed under: Verrucomicrobiota bacterium
Lineage: Bacteria; Pseudomonadati; Verrucomicrobiota
Description: Verrucomicrobia bacterium partial 16S ribosomal RNA
Rfam family: Bacterial small subunit ribosomal RNA
Source: RNAcentral